This 497-nucleotide ribosomal RNA is filed under the name uncultured bacterium. RNAcentral's name for it is "partial 16S ribosomal RNA". It matches the Rfam family "Bacterial small subunit ribosomal RNA", at positions 28 to 507 of the family's 1533-position model. The record is from RNAcentral.
GACGAACGCUGGCGGCGUGCCUAAUACAUGCAAGUUGAGCGCUGAAGGUUGGUACUUGUACCAACUGGAUGAGCAGCGAACGGGUGAGUAACGCGUGGGGAAUCCGCCUUUGAGCGGGGGACAACAUUUGGAAACGAAUGCUAAUACCGCAUAAAAACUUUAAACACAAGUUUUAAGUUUGAAAGAUGCAAUUGCAUCACUCAAAGAUGAUCCCGCGUUGUAUUAGCUAGUUGGUGAGGUAAAGGCUCACCAAGGCGAUGAUACAUAGCCGACCUGAGAGGGUGAUCGGCCACAUUGGGACUGAGACACGGCCCAAACUCCUACGGGAGGCAGCAGUAGGGAAUCUUCGGCAAUGGACGAAAGUCUGACCGAGCAACGCCGCGUGAGGGAAGAAGGGUUUCGGAUCGUAAAACUCGGUUGGUAGAGAAGAACGUUGGUGAGAGUGGAAAGCUCAUCAAGUGACGGUAACUACCCAGAAAGGGACGGCUAACUACGUG